Molecule: long non-coding RNA, 1797 nt
Organism: Acinonyx jubatus (cheetah)
Lineage: Eukaryota; Metazoa; Chordata; Mammalia; Carnivora; Felidae
Exons: 2
Source: RefSeq, a predicted model, not a curated record
AGUGUGACGUCAUGGAUGGAUGACUAGAUGGAGAGGAUGGUGAUGGAUGAAGAAACAGAACGGCUGGCUGCCCCCCUAGACUCACCAGACCGGCUGCGAGUGGCACCUGUCACCCACCGUGCCUGCGCCUCGCUGUCGCUUCUGCCUGUGAAUUCUUAAACCAGCCUUCCCAGGCCUGCACCCAUGCCCACCUUACUUAGCAGUUCCCAGCAGUGCCCCGUCCACACUUCUUCACAGAAUAGACCUUCGGUCAAUGCUGUUGACACACCUUUUGAUGUGUUUGAAAACGAAGAGUGAAGAUUCCUGGUGAGUGAGAGGUUUUCAUUUGCCCGAUAUGUUUUGGCUUCAAACCCUAAAACAGUCCUAGCCCCCGAGGUUUCAAAACCAGAACUGAAACAAUCUUCCUUCUAGAGCCAGGUUGCCACAGAGAAGGGCCUAGAGAAUAAAGUGCUUCUGAAUGGCUCCAUCCGAGGCAUAUCUGAAGACAGAAAAUUCCAAAGGCUUUCCCGGACGGCCUCUAGGAUGGGCUCUAUUAUUAACCUCCUGCGCGAGGCCGAGCUUCUCCCUGGCCUUGCGAGACUGAAAUGAGCUUCUCCCGGGCUCACGCCGUGGCUUUGUGGGCCACAACCACUUCCUAGAAGCCAAGUUCAUCUGAGAAAUGAGGGAGGCCCUGGUGGUUUGUGGUUACAGAAGGCGUUUCCUUUGACACUCAGCUGGGGGAAGGACAAGCAAUCCACAGCAGGCCCGAGAGAAGGGGAGCAGCGCCUGCUUUGGGAUGUCCAGAGGGCGUCCAACCCUUCUAGCAAGAAGAGCCCUCCCCUGCAUCAAGUGCUUAUUGGGGGGUAGGGGGGCAAAGGCCCUGAGACACCGGCAGCCACCUCGGGGGUGUCCCCGGUAUUCAGAGGGUGUCAGAGAAAGGACAGUGCAGGCCUGCUGAGAAAUGAGCUGUGUCCUUUGGAAUUGCUGAGUGGUCAUGGAGGGGUAGGGGUGGGGUGGAUGAGAGACAGACGACAGGUGUAUAACCAAAAUGCAACUCAGCCUGUAGACAAUUCCCAGCCUGUGGACAGUGUCUAAGCAUGUUCUACCAUCCACCCUUUCGAGAAGGGUCCUCCCAGCCCCGUUCACGAAAGACGAGGCUGACACUUGCACCCUCCAGGAUAAACGCUCCUGACAGCAGAGAGCCACAGGCCUCCACGACUGCCAGAGUGAGUGGAGGCCUCUCACAGCGUGAUGUCAAGGGCUCUGGGCAAACCUCCCAGCUUAUUAAAAAAAAAAAAAAAAAUUAAUUUUCCCAUGAAUCAGAUAAUACCUGAAAUUCCAUCAUCGCUUUGCCUGAGGCUUAAACGUCUGGAAAAAUACAAACACGUAGGGGGAGCACUCCAAAUAGUAUCAUUUACACCUCAAUGUCUAGAACCCUUCUGGAUCCUCUCCUGCCCGCAGGUUUCCUGAGGGGCGGGGCUGGAGCAGGGGAGAGAGCCAGAGAGUCAUGGGUGACUGAGGUAGGAGGAGGCCUGGGGGGCGGAGGAAGGGGCACAGGCUGGAAACCAGCUCCUAAACAAACUGGCCCUGCACAGUUUUGCCUGGGGCCACCCCGCAAGUCACUGUCGGAUUCACUCACUGUUGCUGCGCUCUAGAGAAAUCGGGCACCGGCCUCUCCCAGCAGGGCCCGCGUCUUGGGCACAGGCCUGCAUCGUGGCUCAGGGCCUCCGCACUCAGAAGGGCCCCGCGCUUGUGUGGUUUAAUGCUUUGUUAUCACCAUCUUGAAGAUUGUAUCAAAUGUUUUUUUUAUUAUUCAUU